Molecule: transfer RNA, 72 nt
Filed under: Heterocephalus glaber (naked mole-rat)
Lineage: Eukaryota; Metazoa; Chordata; Mammalia; Rodentia; Bathyergidae
Rfam family: tRNA
About the family: Transfer RNA (tRNA) molecules are approximately 80 nucleotides in length. Their secondary structure includes four short double-helical elements and three loops (D, anti-codon, and T loops).
Source: Rfam by way of RNAcentral
UGGGGUAUAGCUCAGUGGUAGAGCACAUAUUUAGGACAUAAGAAGGCCUGGGUUUGAUCCCCAGCAUUUAAA